GCCGGGAUGGUGGAAUUGGUUAUACACGCGACGCUUAAAACGUCGUGAGCCUAACGGCUCAUGUGGGUUCAAGUCCCACUCCCGGUA
This 87-nucleotide transfer RNA is filed under the name Parcubacteria bacterium C7867-004. Its description in RNAcentral is "tRNA-Leu". It matches the Rfam family "tRNA". From Rfam's summary of the family: Transfer RNA (tRNA) molecules are approximately 80 nucleotides in length. Their secondary structure includes four short double-helical elements and three loops (D, anti-codon, and T loops). Further hydrogen bonds mediate the characteristic L-shaped molecular structure. tRNAs have two regions of fundamental functional importance: the anti-codon, which is responsible for specific mRNA codon recognition, and the 3' end, to which the tRNAs corresponding amino acid is attached (by aminoacyl-tRNA synthetases). tRNAs cope with the degeneracy of the genetic code in two manners: having more than one tRNA (with a specific anti-codon) for a particular amino acid; and 'wobble' base-pairing, i.e. permitting non-standard base-pairing at the 3rd anti-codon position. The record is from RNAcentral. Lineage: Bacteria; Candidatus Parcubacteria.